UACGUAGGGGGCUAGCGUUGUCCGGAAUCAUUGGGCGUAAAGCGCGUGUAGGCGGUCCGGUAAGUCCGCUGUGAAAGUCGGGGGCUCAACCCUCGGAUGCCGGUGGAUACUGUCGGGCUUGAGUACGGAAGAGGCGAGUGGAAUUCCUGGUGUAGCGGUGAAAUGCGCAGAUAUCAGGAGGAAUACCGGUGGCGAAGGCGGCCUUCUGGACGGUGACUGACGCUGAGACGCGAAAGCGUGGGGAGCAAACAGG
RNAcentral lists this ribosomal RNA (253 nucleotides) under uncultured bacterium. Its description in RNAcentral is "partial 16S ribosomal RNA". It matches the Rfam family "Bacterial small subunit ribosomal RNA", at positions 524 to 776 of the family's 1533-position model. The record is from RNAcentral.